GUCCGAGAGAAACAGCGUUUUCAUUAUCGGAUGAUAAAACGUUCUAUUUAACUCUACCAUUCGCAAAUAGAACAACAAAAAAACAAUCCUCCUCUUCCGCUCUAACCGCGCAAAGCAUAAGAUAAAACGAGAUCAGCGUAUAUUUUCACUCGCAUUCCAAGUGGCGGGAUGAAGGAGCUGUAUAAUAAAUGUUAUACGAUGCGAGAAGAAGGAUGAAGAAAGAGGAACGUCACGUUUGUGACAUCUUAAAGUUAAAUCGAGCCCCGACGGGAAUUGAUCGAGAACUCCGAUAGCACGGAAUAAUCGACGAAUCGAACGAGAUCAGAGAUCCGGAUAAUAAUCCAGCGUGAGGAGGACCAUGUAACACCAUUCAUCCGCGAACGUCGAGGUUCGAGAAGAAAAAACGAGGGAGAGAGAUGAAAAAAAAACGUAGCGUCAUAUGUUACACGUUCGAAUGACGCAACUUGUAACGGAAGCACAGGCGUCGUCAUUCGUGUGACGUGGCCAGGCAUUCGGGCACGAAUUCUGUUAAAAGCGAAAUCUCUAGUGAAGCAAUGGCGGGCGAACUUUGCCGCGUUUUCGACGAGCUCCGUGGCCUCCGGACUUUUCACGUGGCACUUUUUCAUGAAUAGAGGAGUAGAGCCGGUGCAGUCGUGUGCGUACGAGCGUGCGCGCGCGCGCGCGCGCACGUCGAACCAUUCGGAAACGUAACGCUUCACAACUGUUUCCGCCCCCACUCCCGGCCGGAAGUCCCGUUUCAUUCAUGGAUCGGUCACAAUGGUGGUUUUACGCGGCUAUUGAGGACGCCUGCCUCCCGCCACGCCCCUUCUAGCUUCCCCUUGCGCCCCGCAGCUCCUCUCGUCCUCUCCAUCUCUUUCUCUCUCUCUCUCUCUCUCUCUCUCUCUCUCUCUCUUUGCCUUUCGUUCCCCGUACUUCUUUCGUCCUAUGCUAUCUCUGUCUCUCUCGCCCCCCACGUGUUUCCCUCUCUUCCGCCUACGUCCGCAUUACCGCUCGUAAAGUACGCGGAACGUUGAAUAUACAACAGUUCGCGGUAAUCAUAAAAAAAAAAAGAAAAUUUCAAUGCGCGCAGAAACUAAUUUGAAAGUUUAAGUUUUUCGCGCGAAAUCCGCGCGAUCGCGAUUACGCGCCGCGUCUCGGAUGCUAUUAUGCAAUUUCGGUCUGCGUGACGUACGCGCGAUAAAGAUCGCGCGGACGUGCCGUAUCGAUCGAUCGUUCCCCCGAGAUUGUCGAGAUCCCUCCUCCUUCGGACGGAAUCCCGGCCGAUCUUUACGCCCGCCAUACGCGCGGUCUACGGUCGUGCGAUUUUUCCGUGAUCCACUUUUCUCCUCCCGCCGUGCCGAGAUUAGGAGCGGACGGUUAUAGUCUCGCGCGCGGUCAGACAAAUAAACGCAGCGCACCUUCGGAAAGUGCGGCGAGAAAUAUUGCGAUGUGAGCGAGGUGAGUUAUAGUAUCUCCCGCCUUUCUAUCUAAAAGUACAGGCGAAAAUACUUGUUUGAAACGAAAGGCAUGAAGUAACGACGGAUUCCAAGUUUCCCGUCUUUCGUCGUUAUAAGGAAAACCAACUUAUUUGGGUUUAAAAGUAAAUUUUUUGUCGAUAUUUUGCGCAUUUUAUUUCACUUCUUUUUUCUUACAUUUCGCAAUAUUUAUUGAAUAAAUAACCGAAGCUAGCGCGUUAGCACAACGCGAUGUAAUUUGUACCCCGUACUGCUUAUACUUUUUCACGGAUUCUAUACAGCUCCUUGCUUACAUAGGAGCGAAAGCCGAUCGUCAAACAGAAAAAAAA
RNAcentral lists this long non-coding RNA (1804 nucleotides) under Monomorium pharaonis (pharaoh ant). RNAcentral's name for it is "uncharacterized LOC118646444". The record is from RNAcentral. Lineage: Eukaryota; Metazoa; Arthropoda; Insecta; Hymenoptera; Formicidae.